AUGAUUGCCUGGAAGAAAGAGCCCCAAGACCACCACAAAAGCUGCCCCGCGCGUGUUGCUCUCCACCUGAAUGAGGAGGGCACACCAGCGGCGAACACACAGGCGAGGUGUCAAGCAGGUAGCGCUCUGCCUCAACACUUAAGUUGCCUUAAAACACAGGGCAUUCAAAGCUACAAGGGGAUAACCAACGCAUUUAUCGAUCCCGAUGCCCGCACCUUAGAUUUACCGCUGAUUAAACCCAUCAGCAUCACCAGGGCAGCACCCAGCCACAGCAACACCCCGCCAGCUCCCUCUCCCCGCCAUACAGGGUCUGCUCUUCCCCAUCUCACCCUCACCAGCCGGUCUCCCCCUCUCCUUCCCAAUUCCCAACCCAACAACAUCUCCACGGCCGCUCCCUCACUCCGCACACCCAGAGGAGGGGAUGGGGGGGGGGGGGGGCACACCGCAAAGCGGCCACCCCCGCACAAAACCUGCCCCCCUCCACCUCAGGGUGCCCCCACACACCCAAGGGUGCCCCUUCUACACCCGAGGGUGCCCCGUUUCACCCGAGGGUGCCUCCUUUUUUCCUCCCACCCCCCCGCACUGAGCCGGGCCCGGCUCCCGCUGUCUCCACCGCAGCAGCAGCAGCAGCGGCGGCGCCGGGGCCUGGCGGGGGGGAGCCGGCAGCACGGGCAGCGGGGUGGGGGCGCUGGGACGGCUCAGCCCGGCUCCGCACCCCCUUCCCCAGCCCAGCACAGCACCAACACCAACCUGCCUCCCUCCUCCUCCUCCUCCUUCUCCUCGGGAAGCUCCAGCCCCCGGGCUUGGGCGCUGAGUGCCGGGGACGAGCGGGGCCGGGCGGCUGCGGGAGCCUGGGCUCAUGGAGCGCCGCAGCCCCUGAUGCUGCUGCUGCUGCCUCUGCCUCCUCCUCCUCCUCCUCCACCGCCACCACCACUGCUCCCCGCAGCCGCUACUUCCUGUGCGGCGCCCGUUCAGUUCCUCCCGGGCCGCUGGGGGCAGCAGGAGGAGGAGGAGGAGGAGGAGGAGGAGAAGGAGGAGGAGGAGGAGGAGGAGGAGGUGGAGGAAGGUCGGGGCAAGGCAGCGGGGGCGGCCGCCAGGGGGAGCGCCCCCCGCGCCGGGAGCCAUGAGGGGAGGAGAGAGGAGCGCGGGGCCCGGGAAGGAACGGCCCCGGCUGCGAAUUGA
RNAcentral lists this long non-coding RNA (1182 nucleotides) under Anas platyrhynchos platyrhynchos (common mallard). RNAcentral describes it as "lncRNA (ENSAPLG00000017234.1)". The record is from RNAcentral. Lineage: Eukaryota; Metazoa; Chordata; Aves; Anseriformes; Anatidae.